This is a long non-coding RNA of Mauremys mutica (yellowpond turtle), 1172 nucleotides long. RefSeq lists it as uncharacterized. Lineage: Eukaryota; Metazoa; Chordata; Testudines; Geoemydidae. The transcript is spliced from 3 exons. The record is from RefSeq and is a predicted model, not a curated record.
UCAAUUGAUACCAUCUGACCAUAUGGACCAAAGAGAUUAAGUAGCGUGCUUGAGAAGUCUGUGGUACACCUGGGGAAAGAACCAAGAGAUCCUAACAUAUAAUCCAGUGUCUUAAUUACAAGAUCAUCCUUCCUCUCCCAAACAUUUAUGUUGCUGCAAGGACCCACUCCCUUGUUUCAGUAAAGAGCCUGUAACUUUGCAGAAGCUGGUGUUGAAGAGGAGUAUGCUUGGAAACCAUAAGGGUCCCCUGCAAACGUAAGAACAGACCAUAGCCACAAGUGAGACCUCGUGACUCUAGUUCUUCUGGAUGCUGUAGUGUUUCAACAAGAUACUUCAGCAGAGAGUGGUGGAGAAAAGAAGUGCAGUGGAGAGAAAGAAGAGUCAAUGGGAAGAAAAGGAAUUCUGCAGAUGUAGAAUUAAAGGCCAUUUCCCUCUUGUGAAGUUCCUAGUGGGCCACAUGUGCAUGGGAUCUUGAGAUGAAGAAAUCAAAGGAAACUGCAAUGGGUAGCUACCAAACAAGCAAGGCUGAUUCCUCCAGACAUACCAGGUCUUCAGAGGGCGCGGUGCAUUUUGACAGAUUUCUGUUAAGCUUGCAUAGCAUUAUACAAAGUGAUUGCCAUCUGUAUGCUAAUCCAUGUGCUCCGUCGCAGUGUGCACGUUUAAUUGUAAGCAUUGACCACAAUUCCAAUUCUGCUUUUGCUCUUAUUACAAUGGACGAUUGGCUCAUUCGUGCAACAGGGAAAAAAAAAACUCAAGUGAAAAACAAAGAAGCCAAAACUGAUUCAAGUGAAGCACAUGCCACAUAUAUCAGUACAACUACUUCUGUGAUGGGGCAGGGAGGGGGCAUAAAUUACUACAGACACAAAGAAGGGGGUCAUGAGAUCAAAUAAGUUUGAGAACCACUGUACGAAGGUGUAUGGAGUUCCCAGUGCCCAUGGUAAAACAUCAGCCUAUGAAAAAUAUUUAUUGUGGUUAUAAACCUAUUCUGUAGUGCCAAUUGCAUGUUAAAUCUUAGGACUCAGAGUAACUUAUCAUUAAUAUUUAGUGUGUGUACUGUAACAGUUACUGUGCAGGCUGGCUCUGUGUGGCACAUCCACAGACAAGCCCUAUUGGGGGAGGAGAGGGUCUCCCAGAAAGAAAGGAUCCUACUCUCAAGAAGUUGUGGGUGCAGU